This 488-nucleotide ribosomal RNA is filed under the name uncultured bacterium. Its description in RNAcentral is "bacterial SSU rRNA". It matches the Rfam family "Bacterial small subunit ribosomal RNA", at positions 25 to 518 of the family's 1533-position model. The record is from RNAcentral.
CAGGAUGAACGCUGGUGCGUGCUUAACACAUGCAAGUCGAACGGAGUUUUAACGGAAGUUUCGGAUGGAAGUUUAGAAACUUAGUGGCGGACGGGUGAGUAACGCGUGGGUAACCUGCCUCAUACAGGGGGAUAACAGUUAGAAAUGACUGCUAACACCGCAUAAUAUAGCGAAACCGCAUGAUUUUGCUAUCAAAUAUUUAUAGGUAUGAGAUGGGCCCGCGUCUGAUUAGCUAGUUGGUGGGGUAAAAGCCUACCAAGGCGACGAUCAGUAGCCGGCUUGAGAGAGUGACCGGCCACAUUGGGACUGAGACACGGCCCAAACUCCUACGGGAGGCAGCAGUGGGGAAUAUUGGACAAUGGGGGAAACCCUGAUCCAGCGACGCCCGCGUGAGUGAAGAAGUAUUUCGGUAUGUAAAGCUCUAUCAGCAGGGAAGAUAAUGACAGUACCUGACUAAGAAGCCCGGCUAACUACGUGCCAGCAGCUGC